This 253-nucleotide ribosomal RNA is filed under the name uncultured bacterium. RNAcentral's name for it is "partial 16S ribosomal RNA". It matches the Rfam family "Bacterial small subunit ribosomal RNA", at positions 524 to 776 of the family's 1533-position model. The record is from RNAcentral.
GACGGAGGGUGCUAGCGUUGUUCGGAAUGACUGGGCGUAAAGGGCGCGUCGGCGGCCGCUUGCGUCGGAUGUGAAAGCCCGGGGCUCAACCCCGGAACGGCAUCCGAUACGGGGCGGCUCGAGACCGAGAGAGGUGAGUGGAAUACCCAGUGUAGAGGUGAAAUUCGUAGAUAUUGGGUGGAACACCGGUGGCGAAAGCGGCUCACUGGCCCGAGACUGACGCUGAGGCGCGAAAGCGUGGGGAGCAAACAGG